UACGGGGGGAGCAAGCGUUGUUCGGAUUUACUGGGCGUAAAGGGCGCGUAGGCGGCAAUUCAAGUCAUCUGUGAAAUCUCCGGGCUUAACUCGGAAUGGUCAGGUGAUACUGCUUUGCUAGAGUGCAGAAGGGGCAAUCGGAAUUCUUGGUGUAGCGGUGAAAUGCGUAGAUAUCAAGAGGAGCACCUGAGGUGAAGACGGGUUGCUGGGCUGACACUGACGCUGAGGCGCGAAAGCUAGGGGAGCAAACGGG
RNAcentral lists this ribosomal RNA (253 nucleotides) under uncultured bacterium. RNAcentral describes it as "partial 16S ribosomal RNA". It matches the Rfam family "Bacterial small subunit ribosomal RNA", at positions 524 to 776 of the family's 1533-position model. The record is from RNAcentral.